Molecule: ribosomal RNA, 423 nt
Filed under: uncultured bacterium
Lineage: Bacteria
Description: bacterial SSU rRNA
Rfam family: Bacterial small subunit ribosomal RNA
Source: RNAcentral
AAGACCUUGUGCUUUUGGAGCGGCCGAUGCCUGAUUAGCUUGUUGGUAAGGUAAAAGCUUACCAAGGCUUCGAUCAGUAGCUGGUCUGAGAGGACGACCAGCCACACUGGGACUGAGACACGGCCCAGACUCCUACGGGAGGCAGCAGUGGGGAAUUUUGGACAAUGGGGGCAACCCUGAUCCAGCCAUGCCGCGUGAGUGAAGAAGGCCUUCGGGUUGUAAAGCUCUUUCAGCCGGAACGAAACGGUUACGGAUAAUACCCGUGACUACUGACGGUACCGGAAGAAGAAGCACCGGCUAACUACGUGCCAGCAGCCGCGGUAAUACGUAGGGUGCAAGCGUUAAUCGGAAUUACUGGGUGUAAAGCGUGCGCAGGUGGUUUUGUAAGUCAGAUGUGAAAGCCCCGGGCUCAACCUGGGAACU